AGAGUUUGAUCCUGGCUCAGGACGAACGCUGGCGGCGUGCCUAAUACAUGCAAGUAGAACGCUGAAGAGAGGAGCUUGCUCUUCUUGGAUGAGUUGCGAACGGGCGAGUAACGCGUAGGUAACCUGCCUUGUAGCGGGGGAUAACUAUUGGAAACGAUAGCUAAUACCGCAUAACAAUGGAUGACACAUGUCAUUUAUUUGAAAGGGGCAAUUGCUCCACUACAAGAUGGACCUGCGUUGUAUUAGCUAGUAGGUGAGGUAACGGCUCACCUAGGCGACGAUACAUAGCCGACCUGAGAGGGUGAUCGGCCACACUGGGACUGAGACACGGCCCAGACUCCUACGGGAGGCAGCAGUAGGGAAUCUUCGGCAAUGGGGGCAACCCUGACCGAGCAACGCCGCGUGAGUGAAGAAGGUUUUCGGAUCGUAAAGCUCUGUUGUAAGUCAAGAACGAGUGUGAGAGUGGAAAGUUCACACUGUGACGGUAGCUUACCAGAAAGGGACGGCUAACUACGUGCCAGCAGCCGCGGUAAUACGUAGGUCCCGAGCGUUGUCCGGAUUUAUUGGGCGUAAAGCGAGCGCAGGCGGUUUGAUAAGUCUGAAGUUAAAGGCUGUGGCUCAACCAUAGUUCGCUUUGGAAACUGUCAAACUUGAGUGCAGAAGGGGAGAGUGGAAUUCCAUGUGUAGCGGUGAAACGCGUAGAUAUAUGGAGGAACACCGGUGGCGAAAGCGGCUCUCUGGUCUGUAACUGACGCUGAGGCUCGAAAGCGUGGGGAGCGAACAGGAUUAGAUACCCUGGCAGUCCACGCCGUAAACGAUGAGUGCUAGGUGUUGGAUCCUUUCCGGGAUUCAGUGCCGCAGCUAACGCAUUAAGCACUCCGCCUGGGGAGUACGACCGCAAGGUUGAAACUCAAAGGAAUUGACGGGGGCCCGCACAAGCGGUGGAGCAUGUGGUUUAAUUCGAAGCAACGCGAAGAACCUUACCAGGUCUUGACAUCCCGAUGCUAUUUCUAGAGAUAGAAAGUUACUUCGGUACAUCGGUGACAGGUGGUGCAUGGUUGUCGUCAGCUCGUGUCGUGAGAUGUUGGGUUAAGUCCCGCAACGAGCGCAACCCCUAUUGUUAGUUGCCAUCAUUCAGUUGGGCACUCUAGCGAGACUGCCGGUAAUAAACCGGAGGAAGGUGGGGAUGACGUCAAAUCAUCAUGCCCCUUAUGACCUGGGCUACACACGUGCUACAAUGGUUGGUACAACGAGUUGCGAGUCGGUGACGGCAAGCUAAUCUCUUAAAGCCAAUCUCAGUUCGGAUUGUAGGCUGCAACUCGCCUACAUGAAGUCGGAAUCGCUAGUAAUCGCGGAUCAGCACGCCGCGGUGAAUACGUUCCCGGGCCUUGUACACACCGCCCGUCACACCACGAGAGUUUGUAACACCCGAAGUCGGUGAGGUAACCUUUUGGAGCCAGCCGCCUAAGGUGGGAUAGAUGAUUGGGGUGAAGUCGUAACAAGGUA
Molecule: ribosomal RNA, 1506 nt
Filed under: metagenome
Description: bacterial SSU rRNA
Rfam family: Bacterial small subunit ribosomal RNA
Source: RNAcentral